This 73-nucleotide transfer RNA is filed under the name Trichonephila inaurata madagascariensis. RNAcentral's name for it is "tRNA-Arg". It matches the Rfam family "tRNA". Rfam says of the family: Transfer RNA (tRNA) molecules are approximately 80 nucleotides in length. Their secondary structure includes four short double-helical elements and three loops (D, anti-codon, and T loops). The record is from RNAcentral. Lineage: Eukaryota; Metazoa; Arthropoda; Arachnida; Araneae; Nephilidae.
GUUCCUGCAGCGCAAUGAAUAGCGCGUUGGACUUCUUAUCCAAAGGUCGUGGGUUCAAAUCCCACGUGGGAUG